CCGACCUUAGCUCAGUUGGUAGAGCGGAGGACUGUAGUUGGUCAAACCAAUGAUCCUUAGGUCGCUGGUUCAAAUCCGGCAGGUCGGA
This 88-nucleotide transfer RNA is filed under the name Spinacia oleracea (spinach). It matches the Rfam family "tRNA". Rfam says of the family: Transfer RNA (tRNA) molecules are approximately 80 nucleotides in length. Lineage: Eukaryota; Viridiplantae; Streptophyta; Magnoliopsida; Caryophyllales; Amaranthaceae. The record is from Rfam by way of RNAcentral.